AAAGCCUUGCUUGGUAUGGAGGAUGGAAAAGAGUGAAGAUGGAAAAUUUAUUAAUCAAAAGGCCAAGAUUCACAAUCACUUUCCUACUUUGUAACUUAACCAUUAGAUUGACAAAUUUUCUAUCCUACCUCUUUUCCAUCCUUCGUACCAAACAAAGCUUA
Molecule: microRNA precursor, 161 nt
Filed under: Gossypium raimondii (Peruvian cotton)
Lineage: Eukaryota; Viridiplantae; Streptophyta; Magnoliopsida; Malvales; Malvaceae
Description: miR8634 stem-loop (gra-MIR8634)
Source: miRBase by way of RNAcentral